This 253-nucleotide ribosomal RNA is filed under the name uncultured bacterium. RNAcentral describes it as "partial 16S ribosomal RNA". It matches the Rfam family "Bacterial small subunit ribosomal RNA", at positions 524 to 776 of the family's 1533-position model. The record is from RNAcentral.
UACGUAGGGGGCAAGCGUUGUCCGGAUUUAUUGGGCUUAAAGGGUGCGUAGGUGGUCUAUUAAGUCAGUGCUGAAAUAUCCCGGCUUAACCGGGAGGGUGGCAUUGAUACUGAUGGACUUGAAUGGAGUCGAGGUAGGCGGAAUUGACGGUGUAGCGGUGAAAUGCUUAGAUAUCGUCAAGAACACCGAUAGUGUAGACAGCUUACUAGGCUCUAAUUGACACUGAGGCACGAAAGUGUGGGGAUCAAACAGG